This 326-nucleotide ribosomal RNA is filed under the name uncultured eukaryote. RNAcentral's name for it is "partial 18S ribosomal RNA". It matches the Rfam family "Eukaryotic small subunit ribosomal RNA", at positions 1470 to 1796 of the family's 1831-position model. The record is from RNAcentral.
CCCCUAGACGUUCUGGGCUGCACGCGCGCUACAAUAAUACGCACAGCGAGUAUCACCGAGCUCGAAAGGGCAAGGUAAACAAUAGAAAAGGUACUGUAAUGGUUAUAGAUCCUUGUAAUUAUUGAUCUUCAACGAGGAAUUCCUAGUAAGUAUGUGUCAUCAUCCCGCGCUGAAUACGUCCCUGCCCUUUGUACACACCGCCCGUCGCUCCUACCGAUUGAGUGGUCCGGUGAGGCUUUGGGAUCUGAGCGGAAAGAGCGUUUCGCUGUUUCUGCUCGGAAAACUCAGUCGAACCUUAUCAUUUAGAGGAAGGAGAAGUCGUAACA